This 1448-nucleotide ribosomal RNA is filed under the name Uronema trentonense. RNAcentral describes it as "eukaryotic LSU rRNA". It matches the Rfam family "Eukaryotic large subunit ribosomal RNA", at positions 1 to 1485 of the family's 3401-position model. The record is from RNAcentral. Lineage: Eukaryota; Viridiplantae; Chlorophyta; Chlorophyceae; Chaetophorales; Uronemataceae.
UCGACCUGAGCUCAGGCAAGAUUACCCGCUGAACUUAAGCAUAUCAAUAAGCGGAGGAAAAGAAACUAACAAGGAUUCCCCUAGUAACGGCGAGCGAACCGGGAAUAGCCCAGCUUGAAAAUCUCCCUUGGAGAAUUGUAGUCUGUAGAAGCGCCCUCUGCGGCGGCCGGGCUCCAAGUCCCCUGGAAGGGGGCGUCAGAGAGGGUGAGAACCCCGUCGAGCCUUGGCUUAGCCGCCUCACGAGGUGCUUUCGAAGAGUCGGGUUGCUUGGGAAUGCAGCCCAAAGUAGGUGGUAAAUCCCAUCUAAGGCUAAAUACUGGCGAGAGACCGAUAGCGAACAAGUACCGCGAGGGAAAGAUGAAAAGAACUUUGAAAAGAGAGUUAAAAAGUGCUUGAAAUUGUUGAGGGGGAAGCGAUUGGCAGCUGCGUGUGCGCCCAGGCUUACGCCGUCCUAACGGGCGGCUGCAUGUGCUGGGCGCUGGUCAGCAUGGGUUGGCUUGGCAGGAUAACCGCGGGGGUUGUUACCCCGUCUAUGCUGCCGGGCCGACCGAGGUGUGAAGGCCGCUCUGUCCCUCGGGAUCUGCGGCCUCAAGAUGCUGGCGGAAGGCUUUCAAUCGGCCCGUCUUGAAACACGGACCAAGGAGUCUAACAUGUAUGCGAGCUGGUGGGUGGAAAACCCAUGAGGCGCAAGUAACCUGACUGGUGGGAUGGCGUAAGCCUGCACCAUCGACCGACCAUGAUCUUCUGUGAAAGGUUCGAGUACGAGCAUACCUGUUGGGACCCGAAAGAUGGUGAACUAUGCCUGAGCAGGGCGAAGCCAGAGGAAACUCUGGUGGAGGCUCGUAGAUGUGCUGACGUGCAAAUCGCUUUUCGGACUUGGGUAUAGGGGCGAAAGACUAAUCGAACCAUCUAGUAGCUGGUUCCCUCCGAAGUUUCCCCCAGGAUAGCUGGAGCUCAAUCAGUUUUAUCGGGUAAAGCUAAUGAUUAGAGGUUCGGGGGAUGAAACAUCCUCCACCUAUUCUCAAACUUUAAAUAGGUAAGACGCGCGGGUUGCUUGAUUGAACCCUCGCAUUCAAUGAGAGCUCCAAGUGGGCCAUUUUUGGUAAGCAGAACUGGCGAUGCGGGAUGAACCGAUAGUCGAGUUAAGGUGCCGGACUACGCGCUAACCUAGAUCCCACAAAGGGUGUUGAUUGAUACAGACAGCAGGACGGUGGUCAUGGAAGUCGAAAUCCGCUAAGGAGUGUGUAACAACUCACCUGCCGAAUCAAUUAGCCCCGAAAAUGGAUGGCGCUGAAGCGCGUGACCUAUACUCGGCCAUGGGGGCAAGUGCGAGGCUCCCAUGAGUAGGAGGGCGUGGGUGUCGCUGCGCAGCCUGGGGCGCGAGCCCGGGUGAAGCGGCAUCUAGUGCAGAUCUUGGUGGUAGUAGCAAAUAUUCAAAUGAGAACUUU